UAUAGAAUUCUAAUAUGAGAGUGAAAGUCACAGAGAUAUAUUCCCAGAGCAUCCAUCAACACUUGAUGCCUGGCUGUGGAAGUGCAGUCACCAGUCCAGUUAACAGCUUCUUCAAAUGUAACUUAACUGCCUCUGCCUGAGGCCUUGGUGCGUGGGGCCGAAAAGAAGAGGGAGCUACUUAUAACCACCGAAUGAGCAAGAAUAGAAAUAUGUCUGCAUGGACUUCACCUGACUACCACUACAGCUGCCUUGAUUCUGGAACCAAAAGUAGGCAGUUCAGACCACACAGCUCUCUUGUGUUACUGUGAGAAUUACAACACAUCUGUUGCAGCAUCAUUAGCAAUAUCCUACAGAGGAAGAGCAUUGGUGACACCCAGCAAAACCUGUAUAUUGCUCAGGUAACAAGAAAAUAAUAAAAGAGAGAAUAAGGGAGAAAAGAAAAGUCAUGUUUUCAAAUAUAAGAAGACUUAAUUUUUAUAUCACAGUUCAGACACAUAACAAAGCAUACCACAAAUAAAGAGAAUUCAAUAAGGCCAGGAGCUUGCAUUACAGGUAAAGAAAAAAAUAUUAGACUCAAAAUUUAUUUUCCCAGCUACUCAAUCCCUUAAAUGGAACUUUCACAAUGGAGACACCAGUUGCAAAAGCAAACCAGUUUCAAAAUAUUGGUGAAAGAAAUAUUGAAGAUAAUCUAACAUACAAUCACUGGAGGAUAGGCUUACUGAAAAAGAAAGCAGAAUGCCUAAUACGUUGUCACUACUGAACACUUACUAUAUCUAUCCACCUGCCAGAAAUAUACAAAGCUGGAUACACCUAGAGAGAAAUGAGUCCUAUUCCUAACCCUAAUCUGUUCCAUCUGUUCACUUAAGGAAAUGUGUGCACCACAUCACCUAUAAAAGGCAGUCAGGAAAGUACAAUGUAGAUGGUUAUUCCUUCAUAUCUAACCAUUUCAUCCUCAGAUACAGUAUAAUGUAAGGAUAACUUCUUAAAUGAGUUGUUGACAAGACUAGAUUUACUCGGUUGCUACCAUAACCUAUAGCUAAUGACCACAUGGACCCUAAAUAAAACCAGAAUUUGUUGUCCACAUUUCUUAUCUCAUUUACCUGUUCCUGCUUCAUAAGUUUUCCAUUUACAUUUUCUUAUCACUGAAACAUCAUUAGUUACAAAAAUUCACAUUGAAGACUGAAUUUUGAUUAAGUAAAUAUUUUUUAGAUGAAAAUUAUAAAAAUGAACAAUAUUCAAGAAAUCAAUACUUUUUUUCCCAGAACGCUACAUUUAUACUGGUAAAAGAGGGCAUUGAACUAAAAUGAGUGGAGCCUAACAGAGAAGCUGUGCUAGCUACUCUACUUGUAGUCAUUGUCUGCAUUUCAGUAGCUUAACAAAAUUGAAGUCAUUUCUUACUCAUAUCAAAGUACAAUAUGGUUAUUUCUGGUCAAUUAAGGGGAAGGGAGAGUGAUGUUGCUACAAAAAAUUU
Molecule: long non-coding RNA, 1471 nt
Organism: Cebus imitator (Panamanian white-faced capuchin)
Lineage: Eukaryota; Metazoa; Chordata; Mammalia; Primates; Cebidae
Exons: 3
Source: RefSeq, a predicted model, not a curated record